AAAAUUAAUUAAUUAUAAAAGAGGACAAAGUGGGCAUUUUUAAUUUUGAGAAAGGGCAAAAUGAUCAAUCCUGAGAAUGAGAGACUCAUUCCCACCUCCCCCAUUGGAAUCAAUAUCCCAUUCCCCAUUCCCAAAUAGUGGUGGGCCCCACCAUUCCGAUUUUGAUUCCUACUUCAUAUUUACGAAGUAAACGUCGUCAGUUAUUUCGAUUUCAGAUUCCGAUUCCCCAAUCCUCAAAGUAAAUACACCAUAACUGUAUUAAUAUUUUGGUAGAUGAUUGAUUCAUAUUACAAAGGUAGAAAUUUGAAUAAAUUCAAAAUUAUGGUGCAAAUAGACCUAUCCUUAAUUUCAUUCAUAUACACUUUUUUUUUUAAUUCUUCUUUGAAAUCUCAACAUCAUAGUGUAUAUCAUUUUUUUCAAUUAUUUAUUUGAUGAAAGAGCAUGUAAAACAGAUAUAAACAUGCAAAAUCUUGGAUUUGAUUGAAGGUUGCACUAAUAUAUAAAGCAAUUCAUAACGUAUUAAGGCUCCGUUUGGUACAACUUAUUAAAUAGAACUUAUAACAGUAGAGCUUAUAGCAGUAGAGUUUAUACUUAUAGAGCUUUUGGACAAAAAGUCAUUGGAUGUUUGGUUGUCAAUAAAUAAAAAUACUUUUAAACCAUUAAACUGUGUGAUAUUUUUUAUAUAAUAUAUUUUUAAAAAAGCUCUAUAACCUCUACUUCCAAAAGCUCAAAUUUUAGACUUUUGCUAGUAGAACUAAAUAAAUUAGCUUAUUUAAGCUAAAAAACUCUACUAAAAAAAUAACCAAACACCAUAAAAAAUUUUAAAAAAUACUUAUACGAUUAAAUAAGUAUUUAUGACUCUUAAAUAAGCCAUACCACACUGAGUGAACAAGGGGUGGGCAUUAAGGUUUUUGGUUUGCAAUCCGGGUUUAACAAUUCAACCCAAAUGGGUCAGAAAAUUAUUUUAGUUCAGUUCAGUGGGUUCAAUUUCGGUUGGCUUGGCUUCAUAAUUCGGUUCAAUUUCGGGUUGUUAAUUUCAGGUUGCAAUACAGUUUGGAUUACAAAAUGGUUUGGGUUUAUAAAUCGGGUUUGGGUUGAUACCGAUCAAUUAUAAUUUACUGCUCUCCUCCCAAUUACAUGCUCUUUGCUCUUCAAUUCCUUUGCUGCAAAUCAUUAACACACAGCCCCAACAAACUAAAUUCCUGUUUUAGUGCUAUUUUUGAUUUGUGGCAGUAAGGGAAUGUCUACAACAAAAUCGUCGAAAGUAGAAUUUGGAGUUUCAAUUGAGAAUAGGAUUAGCCGAUUAGCUAUACGUCAUAGUCAUUCUUGGGCAAGAAUUAUAAUAUUGUAUCAUAUAACCAACCGAAUUCUAAUGCUUUGUUUCUCUACAUAAAACGUACACACGUGCACACUAUAGAGUAUAUACACAGGCUGUGAGGAGCUAACUUAUCAUGAAGAGUUGACGGCGGGUUGCGACGAUGAGCUGAAGUCGUGGCCAAUCUGAAGUCGGGGGCUGCGAUGGUGAUUUGAGAGAGAAAGGAGUUGUGAGCCGAAAUCGUUGGUUGCGACGGCAAUUUGAGAGAGGGAGAGGGAGAAGGAGAGAGAGAGAGAGAGAGAGAGAGAGUCGUGAGCUGAAGCUGUUGGCUGCAACUAUAAGUUAAGCUAACGUGGAGCGGCGUAGACGAACUGCCAAACCGAGAAGGAUAACCGUACGAGAGAGGAUGCGGCUGUUAGGGUUUGUUCUGUUUUGUGAAUUUGGAAAUUUGGGGAUCGAAGUAAUGGGUUAAGACAACGAGACGCGGUAUGCGUGGAGGAUGAUCGACAGCUGUUAGGGUUUGAAUUUGGGUUGGGGUUAGCUGAUUGGGUUUGGGGCUUAGUUUUGUCUUUGUGAAAUUGUUUUGUGAUCUAGUUUUCGUGCUGGACUGCUGCACCUAGUGGCCUAGUGCAGUGUGCUUACUUUUUGCCGUUUUCAUGCGUUUAACCCGAACGCCCACCCCUUUUAAUGAACAAACAAACCUCCCUAUAUAUUAUCAAAGAAAUUAUAACGUAAUUGCUUUGAUUAGAAUUAGAAGUUAUUGAUCGUAAUGAGUUAGUAAUUAAAUAAAAAUUAAAUAAUUAUGACAUACUGUAAGACUAAACACUGGUCUAUGUAGAUCUGUUCUUAAAAUAGAAAAAAAUUAAGAGUUUUAAGAAUUAUAAUAUGGAUCAGUUUUUAAAAUAAGUCUUUAUUAGGUAGAAGAUACUUGUUGAUCAUAAUAGUGGAUGAAGUAAUUAAAUUUUUUGUAUAGAUUUUUAAAUUUGUAAAUUUACAUACAUGAUGAAAUCUAGCUUUUUUUAUUCCCUUAAAUUAAUGAUGAAAUCAAGCUCAUUUCGUCCUUGAAUUGCAAAUUCACUUAGUUUAGUCUUUGUUGUUCUAAGAUUUUGAAAAGAGUGAUGAUAUCUUCACCCCACAUUUUUUUUAUAAAUCCACCCCAUUUUUAAAACAUAAUUAUUAAAACUGCACAUUAUUUUUAAAAUUUUCAAAUCAAGAAGAACUUUGGAGAAUUAAUUAAUCAAAUUUAUCUUAAUUCACUUUUUUGUUACUUAGAUUUUUUAAGUAUAUUUGAUUACAAAGAUUGCUUUGAUAUAAGUUUAAAUUGACUAUUUCACUCUUACAAAGUAAAAUUAUCAAGAAUUUACUUUAACUUCAAUAUUUUUCUAAUUUGUACCAAACUCAUUGUUUCUAAUACUACUUUAUUAAUAUGAUUAUUAUUUUUUAAUUAAAUUAACAUAGUGUUUUUAUGGCACAAUUCUCAUAUCAAUUAUUAGAUUGUCAAAUUUAUGUUAUUUACACAUAAUGGUAGUGAAAUAAUAAUUAGGUUUCAUUUAAAAAUAUUAGAUUAUAAGUCGCAAAAUUAUAUACUUAAAUUAUUAGAUACAAUAACUAGAUACAAUAACUCAUGUUUUAUGAGGAUAAUUUUAUCUUUUUAUAUUAUAAUAAUAAAAUAAUAAAAUAAAAUAUAUAUUAAAUUUUAUGAUAAAAAUGGUCAAAAAACCUAAGAAAAAAAUUAAUAGAAGGAUUUAAUUGAUUAAUUGUACAAAUUUUUUAUUAAUAUAUAUUUUUUAAGAAUAUUGUGAACUCAUUAUAAUUAUUUUCUAAAAUUGAGUGAAUUUACAAAAAUAGUGGGGUGAAAAUAUCCCCAUCCCUUUGAAAAUUCCCAACCCCGAUACUGGAUCAUAACCCUUCAUCAAGUAUAUUUAUUUGCCCCUGUAGGCCAUAUGCUGCGAGUUUAUGGGUUAAUUUGUUACUAGCAGUUAGUGUAAUUUAGGAAGACCCAUUAUAGUGGGUCCUUGUUAAGUUGUUAUCAAUACGCCGGUAAAUGAAUAAAAUUAUUUCAUUACCCCUAAUGUUAUUAAUUCUACUUUACAAAUGUGAUUAUAAAUACAUAAUUGAACUAAAAAGUAUUUAUUUCCGGUGGUGAUAUCUCAUGAAAUAUAUUGUUGAACAUCAUAGGAUUUAUUCAGAAGCAUUAAAUUAUAUAAGUUGUAAACUAAAUAACUGAAAUAUUAUGGUACAAAAACAGACUUUUUUUUAAUAGUUUGAGCACUUUAUUUUGUAAGGAUAAAAUAGUUAAAUUAUCUUUACUUUACCAACUUUAACGGUUAAUGAUGCUCAAAGAACCUAAGUAACAAAAAAAAGGGAAAAAUGUUGAUAUUAUUGAAUUAAACUAAACUCAUUUGGUUUAAUUCGAAUUCAAUUUUAGUUUGAUUUCAAAAGUUUAAAACCAAUCAGUUUGAAUAUAGUUUAAUUUGGUUGAGUUUUGAAUAAGAAAAGCAAAAUCAUUAAAAAAAUAUUGACAUUCAAUCUUAGUUUUAAACCAAUUAGGUUUGGUUGAGUUUAUUUGUUUGUUUGUUUUUUAACAAAUGGCACCGCUAGUGAAUUUCUAAAAAACUAAAAGAAAAAAAUGAUGUAAAUUGAUAAUUAGUCCCACACUUUUUGAUAUUAUCACAUAAAAGUCUAGAUAAGGAAAUAUGAUUUAAAUUUUAAUUCAGAAUUUUUAAAUGUGAACAAGUCUAAAAAAAUUUUAAAACUGUGCCAUUCUCUUUUACGUUCAAUUUUUAUAUACAUUUACGACAUGUUAUCAACACAAAUUUGCUGAACUAAGAGGGUAAUACCGAGACAUCGAGGUGAUACUAUUGCUGAGAUGUACAGGAUUGUUUUGGUUGCUGGCCAUGAUAUGAUGACCUGUUUAUAAGAAUUCUAAUUUAUAAAUGGUUGGUUUUAUAAUAUGGCCUAAAAUUAUUUUGUUUCAAUAUGGCCGGUUUAAUUACUUAAUUUGGAUAAAAUGAAGACUUAUUUUCCAGUGAGUGCCGAUCUGCCCGGAAAAGCAGCUCGUCUGUGCCGCUUGCGCAUGAAUGACAUGAAGAAGAGAAAUUAUUGGGUCCACAUAUUUUUCGUAUUUGUAAAUAUGGCCUUUAACUUUGUAGCUUUUUAUAUAAGUCCUGGACUGAAAAGUGAAAUCAUGACGCGUGAAUCGUGAUUUGUAAAAACCUCCCCGAGGUUUGAGGCUGUUAAAAGUAAACAACCAACAGGCCAAGAUUGUUUUAUUUUAAAAAAAAUCUCCUAUCUUCAAUUAAUUUUUUUAUUAACCAAUAGUUGACUUUAAAAAGAUAAUACUACCCCUAGUAAUAGUUUAUAGGCCUGACAGAACUACAAAAAAAAAAAAAUGGAGAUUCUUAGCGCGAAAAUCACAAUUCUAUUUUUUUGACAUUUUUAAUUUCAAAUAUUUACAAUAUUGUAAGUAAAUAAAAUGACUACUUUAUCCCCUUUAAAUCAUUGAUAUUUUCUAAAGAAUAAAUGUUCGCUUAGUCCGUACAUGUUGAUUUAAAUGCCGGUUUAGUCCGCACAUAUAUUAAAAUAAUAACUCAAAACACUCCUGUAGUUAAAUAUAUUAUGUUUUUACCUACACUUUUUCUUUUCUUUUUCAUUAAUACCCUUCCAACAAGAAUACAUUAAUUAAUUUAUC
Molecule: long non-coding RNA, 5006 nt
Filed under: Citrus x clementina
Lineage: Eukaryota; Viridiplantae; Streptophyta; Magnoliopsida; Sapindales; Rutaceae
Description: Citrus clementina (C. clementina) long non-coding RNA (CCLE_LNC000957)
Source: RNAcentral